GAGACCCACGCCCACAUUUGCCAGCGUUCCCUCCGGGGAGAUGGGUACUCUGUGGGGACCGCCGCUGCUAAAGCGGAGGAAGGAAUGGGCAACGGUAGGUCAGCAUGCCCCGAAUUAUCCGGGCUACACGCGGGCUACAAUGGUCAGGACAAUGGGUAUCGACACCGAGAGGUGAAGGCAAUCUCUUAAACCUGUCCUUAGUUCGGAUUGUGGGCUGCAACUCGCCCACAUGAAGCUGGAAUCCGUAGUAAUCGCGUCUCAAAAUGGCGCGGUGAAUAU
This 279-nucleotide ribosomal RNA is filed under the name uncultured archaeon. Its description in RNAcentral is "partial 16S rRNA". It matches the Rfam family "Archaeal small subunit ribosomal RNA", at positions 1047 to 1325 of the family's 1478-position model. The record is from RNAcentral.